AUGGAGGAAAAGAAACCCACAAAGCUGCCCCAGAAUAUCCCCUCCCAGGAAGAAAUGCCGGUGGCCUCCAAGAAAAAGAAAGGGAAAUUAAAGCUGAAGGUGAAGAAGAAAAGUUUGGUGCAGUCGGAGAAUACCUUGACAGAAGAUGACAGUGCGAAAGCAGCAGCAAGUGGGAGCAAAGUGGGAGGUGUCACUGUCCGCCGCCCCAGCAACAAGGUUGCCCAAGAGAACCCCAGAGUUCUGGAAUCAACUCCACCCCCAGCAGGACAAAGCACAAAGAAGAAAAAUAAAAGACUGAAAAAUAAAGUCAAAUCUCAGGAAUCAUCACAGACCCAGCCAAACGAGCACCUAUCAAGCACUUUUGAUUUGUAUCGGAGAGCCAUGCUGGCUUUGAAAAUGCAGCCACAGGGCCGGAAGCCACAGUCUACAACUACUCCCUAA
Molecule: long non-coding RNA, 441 nt
Filed under: Podarcis muralis (Common wall lizard)
Lineage: Eukaryota; Metazoa; Chordata; Lepidosauria; Squamata; Lacertidae
Description: lncRNA (ENSPMRG00000019114.1)
Source: RNAcentral